Molecule: small RNA, 482 nt
Filed under: Pan troglodytes (chimpanzee)
Lineage: Eukaryota; Metazoa; Chordata; Mammalia; Primates; Hominidae
Description: retained intron
Source: RNAcentral
UUUAAUGUUUCACAGGUUCUUCUCAUCCUGACUGCCCUACAGCCCUCCAUCUUCUCAGUCUUGGCCAACGGUGGGCAGAUUGCUUGUUCGCCUCCCUAUUCCUCUAAAACCAGGUCUCAAGUGAUGAAUUGCCACCUCCUCAUACUGGAGACUUUUCUAAUGACUGUGCUGACACGAAUGUACUACCGAAGGAAAGACCACAGGGUUGGGUAUGAAACUUUCUCUUCUCCAGACCUGGACUUGAACCUCAAAGCCUAAGGUGGAUGGCUUGGACAAUGAAAGGAUGCUGUACUCGUUAGAAUACAAGAUUCCUUUACUGUCCCUCAACCUUGACCAAAUGGGAAGCACUCCCCCUUGUCAACACAAGCUGGCAGAUACAUUUGACUCUACAGAUGAAGGUGAACAAUGUUAGGAUAAAAUUGCUUUGGAUCUUGCCUGGAAGGUGUUUUAAGUUUUGUAAUAAACAAGAUGAUGUCUGAAAA